This 260-nucleotide long non-coding RNA is filed under the name Homo sapiens (human). Its description in RNAcentral is "HSALNT0395591". The record is from RNAcentral. Lineage: Eukaryota; Metazoa; Chordata; Mammalia; Primates; Hominidae.
CUUGGCAAGGCCCCGGGAGCAGGGACCUUUUCUCUCCCACUAUACAGAUGGGGACACUGAGGCGCUGGUUCUCAAUCUAUGAAAAAAUGGGGUGCUGGUAGGGUCUUGUUCCGUCACCCAGACUGGAGUGCAGUAGCAGGAUCACAGCUCAAUGCAACCUAGAAGAAUUCCUGUCGUCCUGUGCUCAUGAGAUCCUCCCUCCUCUUGCAACUGCAUAUGAAUUGACAAUUAUUUCAAUAAAAUUUUCAAUUAAAAAAUUA